Molecule: long non-coding RNA, 238 nt
Filed under: Lathyrus oleraceus (garden pea)
Lineage: Eukaryota; Viridiplantae; Streptophyta; Magnoliopsida; Fabales; Fabaceae
Description: Pisum sativum (pea) long non-coding RNA (PSAT_LNC028830)
Source: RNAcentral
AAAGAUUAAAGAGAUUAUAUAAUGAUGAGUUUGAUAGGUUAUACACCCAUUAACAAAUUUAAAAGAAUAUAUUGAAAAACAAGAGAGAACGGUUAAACAUAGGGCAUCACGUAUUUCAAAAAUGGAACGAACAAUGUUAUGAUAAGUAGAAUAAAUUUCUUUUAUAAAUACCACAUUUUAUAAAUAAAAAAUAAUAAAAUAUCCAAACAAUCAAUAUAUUUUACACAUUUUUAUCUUC